Molecule: ribosomal RNA, 484 nt
Filed under: uncultured bacterium
Lineage: Bacteria
Description: partial 16S ribosomal RNA
Rfam family: Bacterial small subunit ribosomal RNA
Source: RNAcentral
AUUGAACGCUGGCGGCAGGCCUAACACAUGCAAGUCGAGCGGAUGAAGGGAGCUUGCUCCUGGAUUCAGCGGCGGGCGGGUGAGUAAUGCCUAGGAAUCUGCCUGGUAGUGGGGGAUAACGUCCGGAAACGGGCGCUAAUACCGCAUACGUCCUGAGGGAGAAAGUGGGGGAUCUUCGGACCUCACGCUGUCAGAUGAGCCUAGGUCGGAUUAGCUAGUUGGUGGGGUAAAGGCCUACCAAGGCGACGAUCCGUAACUGGUCUGAGAGGAUGAUCAGUCACACUGGAACUGAGACACGGUCCAGACUCCUACGGGAGGCAGCAGUGGGGAAUAUUGGACAAUGGGCGAAAGCCUGAUCCAGCCAUGCCGCGUGUGUGAAGAAGGUCUUCGGAUUGUAAAGCACUUUAAGUUGGGAGGAAGGGCAGUAAGUUAAUACCUUGCUGUUUUGACGUUACCAACAGAAUAAGCACCGGCUAACUUCGUG